UACGAAGGGGGCUAGCGUUGCUCGGAAUGACUGGGCGUAAAGGGCGCGUAGGCGGUUUGUACAGUCAGAUGUGAAAUUCCCGGGCUCAACCUGGGGGCUGCAUUUGAUACGUGCGGACUUGAGUGGGGAAGAGGGUCGUGGAAUUCCCAGUGUAGAGGUGAAAUUCGUAGAUAUUGGGAAGAACACCGGUGGCGAAGGCGGCGACCUGGUCCUUGACUGACGCUGAGGAGCGAAAGCGUGGGUAGCGAACAGG
Molecule: ribosomal RNA, 253 nt
Filed under: uncultured bacterium
Lineage: Bacteria
Description: partial 16S ribosomal RNA
Rfam family: Bacterial small subunit ribosomal RNA
Source: RNAcentral